UACGUAGGGUGCGAGCGUUGUCCGGAAUUAUUGGGCGUAAAGAGCUCGUAGGCGGUCUGUCGCGUCGGUCGUGAAGACUUGGGGCUUAACCCUGAGCUUGCGGUCGAUACGGGCAUGACUGGAGUUCGGCAGGGGAGACUGGAAUUCCUGGUGUAGCGGUGAAAUGCGCAGAUAUCAGGAGGAACACCGGUGGCGAAGGCGGGUCUCUGGGCCGAUACUGACGCUGAGGAGCGAAAGCGUGGGGAGCGAACAGG
RNAcentral lists this ribosomal RNA (254 nucleotides) under uncultured bacterium. RNAcentral's name for it is "partial 16S ribosomal RNA". It matches the Rfam family "Bacterial small subunit ribosomal RNA", at positions 524 to 776 of the family's 1533-position model. The record is from RNAcentral.